RNAcentral lists this RNase P RNA (399 nucleotides) under Hymenobacter sp. Its description in RNAcentral is "RNase P RNA component class A". It matches the Rfam family "Bacterial RNase P class A". From Rfam's summary of the family: Ribonuclease P (RNase P) is a ubiquitous endoribonuclease, found in archaea, bacteria and eukarya as well as chloroplasts and mitochondria. Its best characterised activity is the generation of mature 5'-ends of tRNAs by cleaving the 5'-leader elements of precursor-tRNAs. Cellular RNase Ps are ribonucleoproteins. Lineage: Bacteria; Pseudomonadati; Bacteroidota; Cytophagia; Cytophagales; Hymenobacteraceae. The record is from RNAcentral.
GCAGUGAGCCACCCCACCGCCGCGCCCAACGCAAAUGCGGGCGGGGAGGAAAGUCCGGGCUACGCAGGGCGCCCUGCUACCUAACGGGUAGGACUGGCCAAUCGGGCCAGGACAGCCAGUGCCACAGAAAAUAACCGCCCGCAAGGGUAAGGGUGAAAAGGUGCGGUAAGAGCGCACCAGCGGCUGGGUAACCACGCCGGCUGGGUAAACCUCAGGGGUUGCAAGACCAAAUAAGCGAACACGUCGGUGGCCCUCGGGCCAGCGGCACCGGGCGGCCCGCUCGGGUUCGCGGGUAGGUCGCUGGAGCCCGUCGGCGACGACGGGCCUAGAUAAAUGGUGGGGCCGCCCUGGGGGAAACUUUGGGGCGGACAGAACCCGGCUUAUCGGCUCACUGCGUAA